This 975-nucleotide ribosomal RNA is filed under the name Triticum aestivum (bread wheat). Its description in RNAcentral is "partial small subunit ribosomal RNA". Lineage: Eukaryota; Viridiplantae; Streptophyta; Magnoliopsida; Poales; Poaceae. The record is from RNAcentral.
AUGCCGCCCAACAAGAUCCAGACGCUGCUGGGUCACGACCGCAAGGGACUCUUCUCAUGCCUGUACAGCGGCAACUGCGACGAACUCCCUAGCUUCUGUUUCAAACGCGAUCUCCUUGCGUCCAUCCCCGACUUAUACGAGGAGGCGUACGAUCGGCUGCCCGUGGACGACAUGCCAGCCGAAGCCGCCGACCAACUGAUCACAUCCAUGGGCAAAUACGGCCUCUGCCUCGGCCUCAUGGACCCCGUCACCAACAUCAUCCUCAACACCAUCGCCCACCUCCCGCCGGACUUCCGGGCAAACCCACCGCCUCCGCACAGCUGUAAGAGGAGGAGGAGGUCCAAGAGGUUGGCUGGCGCGGCGCGGCCCAAGGAUACCUGGCCCAGAGAUGCCGCGCCAUCCUACCUGGCUCUUCGCAGAUUCAUGGUCAGAUACUUCGGAUGCCUCAGUGAAGAACAGGCCACCCGGUACCUCCACUGGGCGGGCGCCGACCUCCCCCUGGCCGUUUUGCUCGUCGAGCACGAUCUUUACGCUGCUGAGCUUGAGCUCCCCGACACCGCCUCCAAAAGGACACAAGCUGCCCUCAUGUGCGCUGCAACCUGUGCGUCGCACCCAGCGCCCGACGCCCUAGUGCGGCUCCACACGACGCCCCUUCCCCUACAGAGGCUCCUCGCCACCGCCGCGUUCCUCAAGCCGGGAGGGCCCAAGCUCACUGUCGACGACGUCGACACCCUCGUGGAUCUACUGCGGUACCAGGGCAGUGCCCACCUCGACCUCCAGGUGAAACUGCUGCCAGGAGAAAGAGAGGUCGUCGUGUAUUGCCGGAACCUCAAGCCCGAUGAAGGGAAGCUUGAGAUUUGCAAUAGCACGAGCUCCGUGGAUGGAUUCGAUGUUGUCAGCAUCAAGGUCGAGCGUCAUGGGGACCUCUUCACAUCCCUGCGGUCUGAUCCUCAAGACAAGAGGUCCAUGAUAUGA